GACGUUUGAGGGAUGUUCCAAUGUUAUAAGGAUAGACAUUGGAAAUGUUAACCGAGUCAUAAUCAGGUUUAGGCCUGGUAUCCUAUUAUUAUUUACCAAAUGAAUUCAGAAUUAAUAUUGUAACAUAGACCUAAAAAAUCUAUAAAACAACUUUUAACAACGGAUCUCUUGGUUCUCGCAUCGAUGAAGAACGUAGCAAAGUGCGAUAACUAGUGUGAAUUGCAUAUUCAGUGAAUCAUCGAGUCUUUGAACGCAACUUGCGCUCAUUGGUAUUCCAAUGAGCACGCCUGUUUCAGUAUCAAAACAAACCCUCUAUUCAACUUUUGUUGUAUAGGAUUAUUGGGGGCCUCUCGAUCUGUAUAGAUCUUGAAACCCUUGAAAUUUACUAAGGCCUGAACUUGUUUAAUGCCUGAACUUUUUUUUAAUAUAAA
Molecule: unclassified non-coding RNA, 431 nt
Filed under: Mucor plumbeus
Lineage: Eukaryota; Fungi; Mucoromycota; Mucoromycetes; Mucorales; Mucoraceae
Description: sequence contains ITS1, 5.8S rRNA gene, ITS2
Rfam family: 5.8S ribosomal RNA (bases 149-301)
Source: RNAcentral